UGCAAAGGAGGAAUGUAAGCCACACAAU
RNAcentral lists this non-coding RNA (28 nucleotides) under Rattus norvegicus (Norway rat). The record is from RNAcentral. Lineage: Eukaryota; Metazoa; Chordata; Mammalia; Rodentia; Muridae.